RNAcentral lists this ribosomal RNA (325 nucleotides) under uncultured eukaryote. RNAcentral describes it as "partial 18S ribosomal RNA". It matches the Rfam family "Eukaryotic small subunit ribosomal RNA", at positions 1470 to 1796 of the family's 1831-position model. The record is from RNAcentral.
CCCUUAGAUGUUCUGGGCCGCACGCGCGCUACACUGAUGCAUUCAACGAGCCUAUCCUUGACCGACAGGUCCGGGUAAUCUUUGAAUCUGCAUCGUGACGGGGAUAGAUUAUUGCAAUUAUUAAUCUUCAACGAGGAAUGCCUAGUAGGCGCAAGUCAUCAGCUUGCGUCGAUUACGUCCCUGCCCUUUGUACACACCGCCCGUCGCUCCUACCGAUUGGGUGUGCUGGUGAAAAGUUCGGAUCGGCCGUUUGUCGCGGUUUCCGCGUCAUGUGGCUGAGAAGUUCAUUAAACCCUCCCACCUAGAGGAAGGAGAAGUCGUAACA